Molecule: long non-coding RNA, 384 nt
Organism: Lynx canadensis (Canada lynx)
Lineage: Eukaryota; Metazoa; Chordata; Mammalia; Carnivora; Felidae
Exons: 3
Source: RefSeq, a predicted model, not a curated record
GCCGAGGUAGGGGGGUGUGGGAGGGCGCUGCACCUCGCUCCCGCUGCUGCUCGCCUCCUCCGCUCCAGCACAGCCUGACCCUCCUCAGAAUGACCUCCCCUGACCCCUCAACGCACAGCCCAUCACACCAGCCUUCACACACAGGCUAGAGCUUGGGCCUUGGGGAGUCCCCAACCCAGCUCUGGCCCCUGGAGCCAUGCCAAGAGCAGGUGCCAAACUCUGCCAGUGCAGAAGGAGAUUGACUCCCAGUAGCUCCAUCUAUGAAGAAGGAAGACGGAGGGUGAAGACAGGGGCAGGGGAAGCUUCUAGAAGAACUGAAAGGGGCCCCGUGCCGGGCACACCGACUGAGAGGGAGGUAGAUGAUGCAGCCAGAAAAAGCCACAA